Molecule: ribosomal RNA, 514 nt
Filed under: Mycobacterium kansasii
Lineage: Bacteria; Bacillati; Actinomycetota; Actinomycetes; Mycobacteriales; Mycobacteriaceae
Description: bacterial SSU rRNA
Rfam family: Bacterial small subunit ribosomal RNA
Source: RNAcentral
UGGAGAGUUUGAUCCUGGCUCAGGACGAACGCUGGCGGCGUGCUUAACACAUGCAAGUCGAACGGAAAGGUCUCUUCGGAGACACUCGAGUGGCGAACGGGUGAGUAACACGUGGGCAAUCUGCCCUGCACACCGGGAUAAGCCUGGGAAACUGGGUCUAAUACCGGAUAGGACCACUUGGCGCAUGCCUUGUGGUGGAAAGCUUUUGCGGUGUGGGAUGGGCCCGCGGCCUAUCAGCUUGUUGGUGGGGUGACGGCCUACCAAGGCGACGACGGGUAGCCGGCCUGAGAGGGUGUCCGGCCACACUGGGACUGAGAUACGGCCCAGACUCCUACGGGAGGCAGCAGUGGGGAAUAUUGCACAAUGGGCGCAAGCCUGAUGCAGCGACGCCGCGUGGGGGAUGACGGCCUUCGGGUUGUAAACCUCUUUCACCAUCGACGAAGGUCCGGGUUCUCUCGGAUUGACGGUAGGUGGAGAAGAAGCACCGGCCGACUNCGUGCCAGCAGCCGCGGUA